CGGGGGAUAUCUAUUGGAAACGAUAGCUAAUACCGCAUGACAUUGAUUAUCGCAUGAUAAUUGAUUGAAAGAUGCAAUUGCAUCACUUCCAGAUGGACUGCGUUGUAUUAGGUAGUUGGUGAGGUAACGGCUCACCAAGGCGACGAUACAUAGCCGACCUGAGAGGGUGAUCGGCCACACUGGGACUGAGACACGGCCCAGACUCUUACGGGAGGCAACAGUAGGGAAUCUUCGGCAAUGGGGGGAACCCUGACCGAGCAACGCCGCGUGAGUGAAGAAGGUUUUCGGAUCCGUAAAGCUCUGU
This 304-nucleotide ribosomal RNA is filed under the name Streptococcus sp. oral taxon E77. RNAcentral describes it as "bacterial SSU rRNA". It matches the Rfam family "Bacterial small subunit ribosomal RNA", at positions 137 to 436 of the family's 1533-position model. The record is from RNAcentral. Lineage: Bacteria; Bacillati; Bacillota; Bacilli; Lactobacillales; Streptococcaceae.